UGGAUAGCUCGGUUGGUUAGAGCGUGGUGCUGAUAUCGCUAAGGUUGCAGGUUCAAUCCCCAUAUGGGACAA
Molecule: non-coding RNA, 72 nt
Organism: Podarcis lilfordi (Lilford's wall lizard)
Lineage: Eukaryota; Metazoa; Chordata; Lepidosauria; Squamata; Lacertidae
Source: the annotation of a GenBank genome assembly